Molecule: ribosomal RNA, 1349 nt
Filed under: Rhipicephalus microplus (southern cattle tick)
Lineage: Eukaryota; Metazoa; Arthropoda; Arachnida; Ixodida; Ixodidae
Description: SSU rRNA
Rfam family: Eukaryotic small subunit ribosomal RNA
Source: RNAcentral
AUACGGGCGGACUCUUUUGCAGGGGGCCGCUAAUUGAAUGAGUUAACUCUAAAUUCCUUAAAACUAGCGGAUCAAUUGGAGGGCAAAUCUGGUGCCAGCAGCCGCGGUAAUUCCAGCUCCAAUAGCGUAUACUAAAGCUGCUGCGGUUAAAAAGCUCGUAGAAAGCACUUGGAUCUCAGUUCCGCACGAGUAGUGCAUCUACCCGAUGCGACGGCUCGGACUGAACAUCAUGCCGGUUCUUUCUUGGUGCACUUCAUUGUGUGCCUCGAGACGGCCGGUGCUUUUACUUUGAAAAAAUUAGAGUGCUCAAGAACGCAGGGAGUCGCCUGAAUAAACUUGCAUGGAAUAAUAGAAGAAGACCUCGUUUCUGUUCUGUUGGUUUUUGGAAUACGAGGUAAUGAUUAAGAGGGACGGACGGGGGCAUUCGUAUUGCGGCGCUAGAGGUGAAAUUCUUGGACCGUCGCAAGACGAACUACUGCGAAAGCAUUUGCCAAGAAUGUUUUCAUUGAUCAAGAACGAAAGUCAGAGGUUCGAAGGCGAUCAGAUACCGCCCUAGUUCUGACCAUAAACGAUGCCAACCAGCGAUCCGCCUGAGUUACUCAAAUGACUCGGCGGGCAGCUUCCGGGAAACCAAAGUAUUUGGGUUCCGGGGGAAGUAUGGUUGCAAAGCUGAAACUUAAAGGAAUUGACGGAAGGGCACCACCAGGAGUGGAGCCUGCGGCUUAAUUUGACUCAACACGGGAAAACUUACCCGGCCCGGACACUGGGAGGAUUGACAGAUUGAGAGCUCUUUCUUGAUUCGGUGGAUGGUGGUGCAUGGCCGUUCUUAGUUGGUGGCGCGAUUUGUCUGGUUAAUUCCGAUAACGAACGAGACUCUAGCCUAUUAAAUAGGUGCGGGGUUCCCAGCACCUUACAACCUUCUUAGAGGGACAAGCGGCUCCUAGCCGCACGAAACAGAGCAAUAACAGGUCUGUGAUGCCCUUAGAUGUCCGGGGCCGCACGCGCGCUACACUGAAGGAAGCAGCGUGUCUUUAUCCCUGUCUGAAAAGACUGGGUAACCCGUGGAACUUCUUUCGUGAUUGGGAUAGGGGCGGGCUUGACAAUUGUUUCCCCUUGAACGGGAAUUCCCAGUAAGCGCGAGUCAUAAGCUCGCGUUGAUUACGUCCCUGCCCUUUGUACACACCGCCCGUCGCUACUACCGAUUGAAUGAUUUAGUGAGGUCUUCGGACCGAUGUCCGGCGCGGCCUUUCGGUUGCGCCGGUCUGUUGGAAAAAAGAUGACCAAACUUGAUCAUUUACCUUAGGAGGAAUAAAGUCGUAACAAGGUUUCCGUAGGUGAACCUGCGGAAG